This 421-nucleotide ribosomal RNA is filed under the name uncultured bacterium. RNAcentral describes it as "bacterial SSU rRNA". It matches the Rfam family "Bacterial small subunit ribosomal RNA", at positions 355 to 774 of the family's 1533-position model. The record is from RNAcentral.
UAAGGAAUAUUGGUCAAUGGACGCAAGUCUGAACCAGCCAUGCCGCGUGAAGGAUGAAGGACCUCUGGAUUGUAAACUUCUUUUAUCUGGGACGAAAACGGGAUUUUUAUCUCAAUUGACGGUACCAGAGGAAUAAGCACCGGCUAACUCCGUGCCAGCAGCCGCGGUAAUACGGAGGGUGCGAGCGUUAUCCGGAUUUACUGGGUUUAAAGGGUGCGUAGGUGGGCUUAUAAGUCAGUGGUGAAAGCUCCGAGCUUAACUUGGAAACUGCCGUUGAUACUAUAUGUCUUGAAUUAUCUGGAGGUAAGCGGAAUAUGUCAUGUAGCGGUGAAAUGCUUAGAUAUGACAUAGAACACCAAUUGCGAAGGCAGCUUACUACAUAUAAAUUGACGCUGAGGCACGAAAGCGUGGGGAUCAAACA